UCUUUCUGAACACAGACCUAGGAAGUAGAAGGGAGACAACCUUCAAAAUGUACAGCAGAUCAAAGGAAGGUCAGUGACUGGCAGGAAUACGGGAGGAGGGAAGAAAGAUGCAAGCACACAUCGCUGCCUCCUACCACCACACACUCUUCUAGUAAGGAAGAGCUGGUUGCUGGAGCUGACAGACCACUUCACAGGACUGCAAAGGACCUUCCCAAGAACACUCUUUGCCGAUACCUCAUAGCUAAUCUUUAAGGUGGCUUGUGCUUGGCCGGGCAGCCCUCAGCCUUUCAGACAAACGUUUUGUGUGAGACCCUGCUGCUGGCCCCGCACCUGCUGAACCAGCUGCUGCUGGGGCAACGGCGGGGCAGUGCUGGCUCUGGAUCAGAAGAAAAGAAACGGAGCAACGCUCUCUGGUGUAACCAGGAGGAACGAGACUACGUCUCUCACGUGCGCGUACCUCAGACAAUCGCUCACACGCACAUCCAUGGUUUGAAUCCUUACAGUAUUAAAAUAUCUCCAGCUGUACUUCACUUCCUGGAGUCUUCCCUGAAUAUAUCAGAAGGAUGAAUGCUACUACAUCAGGAUGCAAAAGGACAUCAGA
Non-coding RNA from Phalacrocorax carbo (great cormorant), 601 nucleotides. Lineage: Eukaryota; Metazoa; Chordata; Aves; Suliformes; Phalacrocoracidae. The record is from RefSeq and is a predicted model, not a curated record.